UGCUUAAUGUAGUAUCAUUUAUGCUUGAAAAACAACGUUGAGACAUAAAAAACGAACGCAACACACCCAAACCUAUCCAAAACUAACCCGAGCCCCUCGGGACCCUGUUCAAAUAUACUAACAAGUCCCAUAUCAUAAGACGGACCUACUUGAGGCCUCAAAAUACACAUUAUAAUAUCGAAACGACGAAUCGCACAUCAAUUCGUAUUCAAUGAACUUAAAACUCCAAACUUCCACAACCGAUGCCGAAAUGUACCAAAUCACGUUCGAUUGACCUUAAAUUAUGCAUACAAGUCACAUUUGAUCUUAUGGACCUGCUCCAAUUUUUGAAAUCGAAAUCCGACCCGAUAUGAAAAAGUCCACUCCUUGUCAAAAUUUUCAAAAUUCCAACUUUUGCUACUUCAAGCAAAAUUCUACUACGACCUUCUAAUCACAAUCAGGAUCCCUCCUAAGUCCAAAUUCACCCAAUGGAGCUAAUGAACCAUCAAAAAUCGAAUAUGAGGUCAAACUAUAAAGAGUCAAAACUUUAAAAUUUAAAGCUUCUAGGUGAGAAUCAUUCUUCCAAAUCAAUUCCGAAUAACCUGAAAACAAAAAUCGACGAUUCACAUAAGUCAUAAUAUUUCAUACGGAGCUACUCAUGCCCUCAAAAAUCGAACGAAGUGCAAUUGCUCAAUAUAACUGGCUGGGUCAUUAUAAAUGUAAGUCAUACUAUUAAGUUUUAGAACGUCUCUAUCAACACAAGAUUUUUAUUGAAUCAUAUAAAACUAUUUCAAUCUCAUUAAGUCAUUAAAAUAAUUUUUGGCUCCUUAGGCCUAAACAUAAUAAAGUUCUCUUUUAUCUUCACCGGGAAUACAAUACUGAUACUGACAUAAUAAAUAACUACUAGGUGAUCAACCUACCAAUAAGUAUUUGACCGUACUUGUUUGAGUGGCUUCUCAUAGUUCUGUACGAGUCGACUAACCUCAUUACUUUGCGUAAUGUUCAUUUCCCUCUUAGCCUCGAAAGUGUCCCGAUACUAAUACGUGUAGUUCCAUGGUAACGAAUUCAACAUUCGAAUGAUCUCCAAAAUUAACUCCAAAAUAUAUAUCAAAAAUAGAUUGAUAGAAUAUUAUCCUCGGAGGAUUUAUUUUUAUCAAAUCAUGAUUUUUGUAGCCAAUUUAAAUCAACUGAAUAAAAUCAAAUAAAUAACGUUUUGUCAUAUUAAAUAUUUUAGCAAUAUAACAUCAAUCCAAAGAAACAACAAGUGCUUUCUUUGUUAAAAUUUUAAAAGAAAAACUUUUACAUGAAAAUAUAUCUUAGUACUCAAACAUUUUAUACUUUUAUCAAUAUAAACGUUUUCAGUAAACUAUAAUAUUUUACAAACAACAACUUGAGAAACACAUAAUAACAUCUCUCUCGCUUGUCCCCAGAAAUAUGGAAGCAUAUUUAAAAAUAAUUCAUUAUAUUAACUCAAAACAUGCUUUUAAAGAGAAUCACUCAAGAUGAGUAAAUCUUAAUCAACUUAUCGCAAACAUGAUGUUCCAUAAAUAUUACAAUAUUCUAAUUGAUUAAAAUGCUCAAAUAUCUCCAACAAAUCAAUAUCUAUUAUUAAGUAUUCUAACUUCAUCAAAAUAAAUCCUAAAAGAGUUGUAAAUAUCCAUUUAGGCUUCACAAGUUGGCAACAAGCCAUCAACCAUCCUAAAUUAUCAAAUAUGUUCAUCCAUUAGCCUAUUCAACUUUAUUUCAUUCAUUUAAUACCCAUUUGGAACCAUAAAUGAUACUACUUUAAUUAUCUAACAUCAUCAAGUCACUAUUCAUUGUCUUCUCCAAUAAAAUCCAGGUUCACGAAUAUCCAAUUGAAGAACUAGCGUUGAUUCUUAGAAAAAAGGUGACUUCAAUUCGUUCAUAAAUUAAGUUAACAAGUUUAUUGGACUUAUUAGAAACUCAAAGAAAUUCUAUUUAUAUCAAUUCAUCAUUAUUCACCGUCUUCUUUGCCCAUAAUAUCACUUUCAAGACCCACUCUUAAAGUUUCUAUAAUACUUUAUUAUAACUUCAUAAAUAUGCUACACAUACUUCAAUAUAUCGAAUAUAUGAGGCUCAAGUCAUCGGGUUACAUCUUGGUGGAAGAAUCUCACUUUUGCUCUUUUUGAAGAUUCAACCCAUUUUCUAUGAAUUUGAUCCAUAAUAAUGUUAGUGUUAUCACUAAAUGAUAUUAUAUAAUCAUCCUUGUAUUAAAAUAACUUACCUUGAAGUUUAUCCACGGUGGAAGAGCUUCUCCUUCUCUCUAGAAAUCAAUCUUAAG
This 2281-nucleotide long non-coding RNA is filed under the name Nicotiana benthamiana. RNAcentral describes it as "long non-coding RNA (NBEN_LNC013516)". Lineage: Eukaryota; Viridiplantae; Streptophyta; Magnoliopsida; Solanales; Solanaceae. The record is from RNAcentral.